Molecule: ribosomal RNA, 586 nt
Filed under: Sesarma reticulatum (heavy marsh crab)
Lineage: Eukaryota; Metazoa; Arthropoda; Malacostraca; Decapoda; Sesarmidae
Description: partial 12S ribosomal RNA
Source: RNAcentral
GCUUUAAGAUUAAGUAAAAGAUAUGAUAGUUAUUUAGUUAAAUUAAAAGAAUUUUAUAAAAAUUAUAAAUAAUAAAAGGUAAAAUUUAAUUGUUAUUUUAUAUUAAAUUAUGAUAAUUGUAAUUGAAGCUAAAAAAUCUAUUUAUAAACUAGGAUUAGAUACCCUAUUAUUAUAGGAAAAAAUAUAAAACUAGAUUAUUAUUAGUUAUUUACUUUAAAAUUAAAAAAUUUGGCGGUGAUUUAAUCUUUUCAGAGGAAUUUGUUUUUUAAUCGAUAACCCACGAAAAAUCUUACUUAUUUUUGUUAAUAUUAAUUAUAUCAGUUUGUAUACCAUCAUUAUCAGAUAAUUCUAUAAAAGAUAAAUUAUUUAUAUUAAAUGAUUAUUAAAAUUAGAUCAUGGUGCAGCUUAUGAAUAAGGUAAAAUGAAUUACAAUAAAUUAUUUUAUUAAAUGAAUUAAUAAAAGAAUUUUUAUUAUGAAGGAGGAUUUGAUAGUAUUAUAAUUUUAAUAAGUUUAUAAGAUAUUAGCUCUAAAUCAUGUACAUAUCGCCCGUCGCUUUCAUUUAUAAAAUGAAAUGAAAUAAGUCGU